Callithrix jacchus (white-tufted-ear marmoset) is the source of this 15396-nucleotide non-coding RNA. Lineage: Eukaryota; Metazoa; Chordata; Mammalia; Primates; Cebidae. The record is from RefSeq and is a predicted model, not a curated record.
CGGGGACAGAGCCGGGCGGCAGUUGAGGCCAUCCUGGCUAGAAAAUCCCAGAACCGUGGCUGGCGCAACCCUGACCACGCGGCCAGGCAGAGGUGAGUACGCGGCCGUCGGACGGGCGGGACAGGCGCUGAGGACUCCGAGAACCGUCGCGCGCUCUCACGUCCGCGUCCCCAAGGGCUGCGCUCAGCCGAGCGCAGUGCCCGGAGUUCGGAGCCAGCCUGGCCUGGGGUACCCUGCUGGCCGAGGAGGUCGUCAGUCCCGUCUUGUCUUCCAGACCCGGAGGACUAGGCUUCCCGACAAGGAACUGCCCAACAUGGCCUCGGAGAGCAGGAAGCUGUGAGGUAGCCAUUCUGUGAGCACAGUGGACUCCCUCAUGGAGAAGUUCAAUGCAUCCAUUGCCUAUGACUGGCACCUGUGGGAGGUGAAUAUUCAAGGCAGCAAAGCCUACAGCAGGAGCCUGGAGAAGGCAGGGCUCCUCACCAAGGCCGAGAUGGACUAGAUACUCCAUGGCCUAGACAAGAAUUGCUGCCACCUGCUAUAGGUGGCUGAGGAGUGGGCCCAGGGCACCUUCAAACUCAACCCCAAUGAUGAGGACAUCCACACAGCCAAGGAGCGCCACCUGAAGCCGAGUUCCUGUUCUGGGCUUCUCUGUGCAUGACCCAUCUCAGCAGGAUGGCCAAGCACCUCAUCAUCUAUGGCACCAAGGAAUGCAGCAUCGUGCAGCUCUCAGAUGCUACAGCACUGCAGCAGCCUGAUGCCCCAGAAGAAAAACCCUGACAGCUUGGAGCUGAUCCAGAGCAAGGCGGGGCAUGUGUUUGGGCAGUGUGCUGGGCUCCUGAUGACCCUCAAGAAACUUCCAGCACCUACAACAAAGACUUAAGGUGCGAAGCUGGGGGCGGUGGCCGAUGGAGGCCCACUGCCUACAUACCACAUGCCAGUUCUCGGGGCUCUGGCACACCCAGGCAGGGUCCCCCAGGAUUGCCAUACAUCCUCCCAUCCUGUGCACACAGCGCCAUCCGUGGCUGCCCUUGGAGCUUUCUGCCCUUCCUUUGUUGAGGUACUAAGUGUUCUUCCCAUGGAAGGCAGUGAGGAUGCCUCAUUGUGGGUGGGGCUGUGGGGACCCUGGGUGCCAAGGAGCUGCUAGGCCCUCACCUGCUGCCAUGUGCCUCCCAGGACAAGGAAGCUGUGUUUGACGUGUCAGACACCACGAGUGCCAUGUUCCAGGUGGCCACUGGCAUCAUCUCUACGCUGCAGGCAAGACACCACCCACCUGCCUCUCCUCCCCUAUGUCCCAGGCACUGGAGUGGGCAUGCCAGGAGGGUGGCCUUUGGAGGAGGCAAGGUGGGGCUGGAAGACCUGGGGCAGGGAAGGAGAGGUGUGCUCUCUCCUGCUCCUGGGGAACAGGAAAGGGACAGAAACUGCUGCCACACAAUAGAAGUAGAUAAGACUCAAGGGGCCUGGGGCUUAUCAACAGGCAUGACCAGAAUCCUUUUAAAAAAAGAAAAUUUAUAUAAAAGUCCAGCGUGGUGGCUCAUGCCUGGAAUCCCACGCUUUGGGAGGCCGAAGCAGGUUGAGCACUUGAAGUCAGGGAUUUGAGACCAGCCUGGCCAACGUGGUGUAACCAUAUCUCUACUAAAAAUACAAGAAUUAGCCGAGCAUGGUGGCCCACACCUGUAAUCCCAGCUACUCAGGAGGCUGAGGCAAGAGAAUUGCUUGAACCUGGGAGAUGGAGGUUGCAGUGAGCCAAGAUCAUGCCACUGCACUCCAGCCUGGAUGACAGUGAAACUCCCUCUUCAACUAGGUAAAUAAAUUAAAUAUCUAAAAAAAUUAUUUUUUAGAGACAAGGUCUCUCACUGUCACCAGGCUGGAGUGCAGUGGUAUGGUCGUAGCUCACUGUAGCCUUGAACUCCUGGGCUCAAGUGAUCCUCCCACUUCAGUCUCCAGAGUAGCUUGGCCUACAGGCAUGCACCACCACACCUGGCUAAUUGUUUUAUUUUUGUAGAGACAAGGUCUCCCUAUGUUGCCUAAGCUGGUCACAAACUCCUGGCCCCAAGCCAUCCUUCCACCAAGCCGUCCUUCCACCUUCAUCUCCCAAAGUGAGGGAAUUACAGGCAUGAGCUACUUUGCCUGGCUGACUUCUUUUAAAAUCAAUUAUUAUGGGAAAUUUCUGAAUAUAACAGCUAGAGAAUGCAUAAUGAACCCUAUGUACCCACACCCAGCUUCAACAAUAAUCAACGCAGACAUUCUGGCUCCAGCUGUCUUUACCCACAGCUGGAACCAGGGGACUCCUUCAUCCCCUUAUUAUUUCAAAGCAAGUUCCCAUCAUCACAUCAUUUCAUUCCUAAAUAACUCAGGAUGUUUCUUGAAAUCAGUGGGUUUUUGUAAUCCCAUCACUUUGGGAGGCUAAGGUGGGCAGAUCACUUGAGGUCAGGGGUUCAAGACCAGCCUGGCCAACGUGGCAAAACCCUGUCUCUACUAAAAAUAUAAAAAUUAGCUGGCAUGGUGGCAUGAGCCUGUAGUCCCAGCUACUCAGGAGGCUGAGGUAGGAGAAUUGCUUGAAUCCGGGAGGCGGAAGUUGCAGUGAGCGAAGAUCACAUCACUGCACUCCAGCUUGGGCAACAGAGUGAGACUCCAUCUCAAAACACACGAAAAGCCCAAUACAACAACAACAAAUUAGUAGGGCAUGGUAGCGUGCGGGCCUGUAGUCCCAGCUACUUGGAAGGCUGAGGCUGGAAGAUCACUUGAGCCAGGUAGGUCCAGGCUACAGUGAGCUAUGAUGGCCCCUGUACUCCAGCCUGGGCAACAGAGCAAGACCCUGUCUCCUAAAAAAGAAACAAAUCCUCCAGGAACUUCCAAUGCCUGCUAAAAAUAAGGACUCUGAAAACAUAAAGGCCAGUAAAACAUACAGGCCAGUAAGCAUUAAUAGCAUACCUAAUACUAUCAAUAAUUAUGAGAAGAUGGUCCAAGCUGAGAGUGAGACAGCUCAUCUGCCCAAGGCAGGAACAUUCUGGCAGAUGGGCAGGUCCUGGGCCCAUAGUUGUAAUCAGAGAAGGAGGAGGAGGAGGAACAGCCAGGUGGGGUGGCUGACACCUGUAAUUGGAGGAGGAGGAGGAAGAAUAGCUGGGCACUGUGGCUCAGGCCUGUAAUCCAAGGAGGAGGAACAGCCAGACGAGGUGGUUGCUGUGAUCCCAGCAAUGGAAGAGGAGGAGGAGGAUGAUUGCCAGAGGAGAAAGAGGAGGAAGAGGAGGAUUGCUCAAAACCCAGGAGUCUGAGACCAGCCUGGGCAACACAGUAAGACCCCAUUUCUAAAAAAAAAAAAAAAUUAAAGAUUAGCCAGGAAUGGUGACACAAGCCAGUCAUCCCAGCUACUCAGAAGGCUGAGGCAGGAGGAUCACUUGAGCCCGGGAGGUCGAGGCUGCAGUGAGCUAUGGUCAAGCCACUGCACUCGAGCCUGGGCAAUGGAGUAAGACUCCAUCCCAAAAAAUAAUAAAGUUUAAAAUACUAUAAGACUUACCAAGAUGUGACACAGAGACACCAAGUGAGCACAUGCUGUUGGAAAAAUGGCACCAAUACACUGGCUCAACACAGGGUUGCCACAGUCUUCUAAUAUGUUAAGAAAUGGGCCAGCCAUGGUGACUCAUGCCUGUGAUUCCAGCACUUUGGGAGGCUGAGAUGGGAGGAUUGCUUGAGUCCAGGAGUUGGAGACCAGCCUGGUCAACAGAGUGAGACCCCAUCUCAAUUGUUUAAGUAUUAUUUACAUUUUUAAAUGAAACAAAACAAAAAUAUGUUAAGAAAUGCAGUAUCUGUGAAGCACAAUAAAAUCAAGUAAAAGAAAAUGAGGCCGAGUGAGGUGGCUCACACCUGUAAUCCCAGCGCUCUAGUAGGCUGAGGCAGGUGGAUCACCUGAGGUCAGGAGUUCAAGACGAGCCAGGUCAACAUGGUGAAACCCUAUCUCUACUAAAAAUACAAAAAUUAGACUGAGCAUGGUGGCUCAGCCUGUAAUCCCAGCACUUUGGAAGACUGAGGCAGGCAGAUCAUGAUGAGGUCAAGAGAUCGAGACCAUCCUGGCCUACAUGGCAAAAUCCUAUCUCUACUAAAAAUACAAAAAUGAGCUGGGCAUAGUGGUGUGUGCCUGUAAUGCCAGCUACUCAGGAGGCUGAGGCAGGAGAAUCACUUGAACCUGGGAGACGGAGGCUGCAGUGAGCCGAGAUUGUACCACUGCACUCCAGCCUGGCAAUGGAGGGUAUGCUGCCAUGAUCCUGUAGUCUUGGCUACUCUGGAGGAUGAGGCAGGAGGAUCUGUUGAGCCCAGAGUUUGAGGCCUCAGUGAGAAUUAUGAUCACGUCACUGUACUCCAGCCUGGCUGACAGAGUGAGACCUUAUCUCAGAAAAAAAAAUUAGAAAAUGGUGUAUUCAUAAGUAUGCCAAUCUACUAGAGGCGCUAUUAAGUGGCAAGUAGUCCACAGUUGCCUACAGACUCAUUUUCCCUGGAAACUAAAGUUGGGAAUUCUAAUCAAUAUACAUAACUGACCUACUAAAUAUAAUACGGGUGAAAGAAAAUGACUCUAUGAAAAGUAUGCAAGGAAAACAGAGGGUGUUUUUUUAUAAGGAAAGGUGUGAGGUACAAAGGGCAUGUUUUCAUUAUUGAAAAAGAACCAUUUUGUCCCAAAGCAGAAUAUGAAUUGCUCCAGGAUGAGAAAGUGGAAGCUGUAGAAGGAAAGGUACCUGUAUGGAUAUAAAAUGUUUUAGAGGCUGGUCCAGUGGCUCAUGCCUGUAAUCCCAGCCCUUUGGGAGACUGAGGUGGGUGGAUUGUUUGAAUUCAGGAGUUUGAGACAAGCCUGGGCAACACAGUGAGAUCCUGUCUCUACAAAAUAUUUAAAAAUUAGCCAGGUGUGGUCAUGCACACUUGUAAUCCCGGCUACUUAGGAGGCUGAAAUGGGAGGAUCACUUGAGCCUGGGAGGCAGAGGUUGCAGUGAGCCAAGAUCACACCACCGCACUCCAGCCUGACAGGGAGACCCUGUCUCAAAAAAUAAUAAUAAAGAAAAUAAAAUUAGCUGGGUGGGGUGGCAUAAGCCUGUAGUCCUUGCUACAAAAUGCUUCAUGACAACAUAGUUUUAACUUUGAGAUCCUAUCAAUGGACUGAGUAAGAAUUCCCAGUACUCUAGUGGAGAAGCUGACAUUUCUUCUUGAUCUCGAAGAUCAAGCAGAUCAAGAUCAAGUAGAUCAAGCAGAUCAAGAAUCAUUUACAUGGGACUGAAUGAACUAAUAAAGGAUAAUUGUGGUUAUUGUUUUGGAAUAUUGCCGUUUCUUUACUAUUUUAUUUUCUUAAUAUAAGACACUCCUUGGCUGGAUGUAGUGGCUCAUGCCUAUAAUCCCAGCACUGUGAGAGGCCAAGGCUGGUGGAUUACCUGAGGUCAGGAGUUCGAGACCAGCCUGGCCAACAUGAUGAAACCCUGUCUCUACUAAAAAUACAAAAAUUUGCCGGGUGUGGCAGUGCACACCUGUAGUCCAGGAUACUCUGGAGGCUGAGGCAGGAGAAUAACUUGAACCCAGGAGAUGGAGGUUUCAGUGAGGCAAGAUUACCAUUACACUCUGGUCUAGAUGACAGAGCAAGGCUCCAUCUCAAAAAAAAAAGGAACUCCUUUCUGUUAUUACUAUAAUCUACACUCACAACAGUUUAGUAGAUUAUGCUUGUGAAAAGAUAAAUGAAACGUUUAUCUAUUUUCCUAGCUGAUCCCUCCAAAAUUCAGAAACAUUGUGCAUUAAAUCUUUUUUUUUUAAGACAGAGUCUCACUUGUUGCCCACGCUGGAGUGCAGUGGCACACUCUCAGUUCACUACAACCUCUGCCUCCCAGUGAUUUUUGUGCCUGAGAUUCCAGAGUAGCUGGGAUUAAAAGCAUGAGCCACCAUCCCUGGCUAAUUUUUGUAUUUUUAGUAGAGACGGGGUUUCACUAUGUUGGUCAGGCAGAUCUCAAACUCCUGACCUUAGUUGAUCCACCCAUCUCAGUCUCCCAACAUGAGCCACCGCACCCAGCCUCAUAAAAUCUGAUUUAAGGAACUAAGGUAGACUUUAUGGAGCCACUGCUUACAAAGCCUUCUGGGAACAAUUGCGCUGGUACCCAGCUUGCAGGUUUCCUAGCCUUACAUGUGAGUGAGGAGGACCACUUCCUGGAAGUCCCAGGAAGCUUGGGAUAUUUGGGCACCUUGAGAUGAGAGGAAUUUAUCUAAAUUCGUCACUAUAGAAGGCAAAGUCUGGCGGCAAGUUAUUGGCUUGACAUCCUAUCCUCAAGAGAUUUUUAAUUGUCAAACUCAAAAUUUCUUAUGAAAACUUCCAGUAAAGAGGCCAGGCAUGGUGGCUCAUGGCCUGUAAUCCCAGCAUUUUGAGAAGCCCAGGUGAGUGGAUCACUUGAGAUCAGGAGUUGGAGACCAGCCUGGCCAACAUGGUGAAACUCCUGAAGUGGGAGAAUCGCUUGAACCUGGUGUGUGGAGGUUGCAGUGAGCCAAGAUGGCACCACUGCACUCCAGCCUGGGUAGACAGUUAAACUGUCUCAAAAAAAAAAAAGAAAUUACUUAAGCAGAUAGUGCUUAAAGGUAAAGGAGUCCUUGGCAAGCCUCCCUUUUAACAAAAAGCAGCCCAAAUCAUUUCUUUUUUAACAAAGAGCAGCCUGAAAAACUGAGCUGUAGACAUAAAUAAUCAAACUGUUAGCUUCACGAGUGAAUGCCAGCAGCUGUGCCAAUAGGAAAGGCAAACUGGAAGCCAGGUGUGUGCAACACGGGGCUCCAUCUUCCCUUUUCUUUUUCACCACGUGUACAGUGAAGAACCAGGCAACACUGGCCAGCCGGGGUGGCUCACGCCUAUAAUCCCAGCACUUUGGGAGGCCUAGGUGGGUGGAUCAUUUGAGAUCAGAGUGCAAGACAAGUCUGACCAACAUGGUGAAACCCCAUAUCUACUAAAAAUACAAAAAUUAGCCAAUCAUGGUGGCAGACGCCUGUAAUCUCAGCUACUCAGAUGCUGAGGUAGGAGAAUCGCUUGAAUCUGGCAGACAGAAGUAGCAAUGAGCCGAGAUUGCACCACUGCUCUCCAGCCUGGGCAACAGAGCAAGACUCCAACUCAAAAAAACCCAAAAACAAGCAAAACAUCUGGCCAGGCAUGGUGGCUCACACCUUUAAUCCCAGCACUUUGGGAGGCCAAGUUGGGUGGAUCAUGAGGUCAGGAGUUCGAGACCAGCCUGACCAAAAUGGAGCAACCCUGUCUCUACUAAAAAUACAAAAAUUAGCCAGUGUGGUGACACACACCUGUAAUCCCUGCUACUCAGGAUGCUGAGGCAGGAGAAUCAUUUCAACCUUGGAGGCAGAGGUUGCAGUGAGCCGAGAUCAUGGCACUGAACUCCAGCCUGGGUGACAGAGCCAGACUCCAUCUCUAAAUAAAUAAAUAAAUAAAUAAAAUUAGCCAGGCAUGGUGUCAUGCACCUGUAAUCUCAGCUACUCAGGAGACUGAGGCAGGAGAAUCACUUGAACCCAGGAGGUGGAGGUUGCAGUGAGCCAAGAUUGUGCCAAUUGCACUUCAGCCUGGGCAACCAGAGUGAAACCCUGUCUCCAAAAAUAAAAAUAUAAAAAAGAACAAGAAUAAGAAAGAAAGGAAAGGAGCCGGGCGCAGUGACUCAUGCCUAUAAUCCCAGCACUUCGGGAGGUCAAGGUUGGAGGAACCCCUGAGGUUGGGAGUUCGAGACCAGCCUGACCAACAUGGAAAAAAACUCUGAACUAAAAACACAAAAGUAACCAGGUGUGGUGGCGCUCACCUGUAAUCCCAGCUACUCAGGAGGCUGAGGCAGAAAAAUCACUUGAACCUGGGAGGCAGAGGUUGCAGUGAGCUAAGGCUUAUUGCACGUCAGCCUGGGCAACAAGAGUGAAGCUUCGUCUCAAAAAGAAAAGAAAAGAAGAAAAGAAAGGGAAGUACAAUUGGAAGAGACCCAAGAGGGCACCGAGGUCAAGUGUGGUAUUUAGCCCUGAUCCUAGGACUUUAUAGGCUGGACUCUUUCCCAUGAUUCCUUCCUUAGGGUGGGCUGCUGCACUGGGCAGGGGAGCACCUACCAUGUGUUUAGAAACUUGUGUGCAUGCCCAUCUGAGACUAUCUUCCCUUUUCUGGUGGUGUGCCCCCAGAAUGUCAUACUCCACCAUUUUGUCUUUUUUUUUUUUGGAGAUGAAGUCUUGCUCUGUCACCCAGGCUGGAGUGCAGUGGUGCAAUCUCAGCUCACUGCAACCUCCGCCUCCCGGGUUCAAGUGGUUCUCCUGCCUCAGCCUCCUGAGUAGUUGGGAUUACAGGCACAUGCCACCACAACCAGCUAAUUUUUGUAUUUAGAGAUGGGGUUUCACCGUGUUGGCCAGGCUGGUCUUCAACUCCUGACCUCAUGAUCUACCCACCUUGGCCUCCCAAAGUGUUGGGAUUACGGGCAUGAGCCACCACGCCUGGCCCAUUUUGUCUUUUAAUGCACAUAGCUGGGCUUACUUGUCCAAUACCUGACAUUUUAUUGGAAGCCCCUUUUUGCUUCUCCCUAGUGCCUGCAUUCAAUUCACACUUUAAUGCAACAGGUGUGGACCAUCAGGCAAUGCUUCUUCCUGGCACCAGCUGCCAAUUUAUCAAGAGCAAAACUUCGUCUCAAGCAAAACAAAAUAAAACUUUCAGCUGGGUGUGGUGGUGAGCACCUAUGGUCCCAGCUACUCAGGAGGCUAAGGUGGGAGGACCACCAGAUCCCAGGUGGUUGAGGCUGCAGUGAGCCAUGAUUGCGCCACUGCACUCCAGCCUGGGCAGCAGAGUGAGAUCCUGUCUCAAAAUAAAAGGAAGUGAAUCAUGAAGGCCAGACCAUGUUCAAGGUGGGGAGGAAUUAGACUGCACCCUAUGAGGGGUGUCUAAAAAUCUGCAGACAUGUUUUAGAACCACUGCAUGUUUAGGAUCACAUUUCAUUCUUUUAGUGUUACCAAAACACCAGGGUUCAGCCUAGGUCCAGCUGCUGGCCUCAAGAGCCAAUCAUUGAGACAAUGAUUAUUGCCAAGGAAGAAGGCUUUAAUUGGGUGCUGCCGCUGAGGAGAGAGGAGGUCAGUCUCAAAUCCAUCUCCCUGACUACUAAAAUUAGGGCCUUUACAGCAGGGAAGAAAUGCAACUAUGUGUGGGAAAACAGAAACUCAGGAGGGGUAAGGAAGCAAUCAUGAUGAAUGAGGGGUCUGGAGUCUCAUUAUGAGGAUGUCAUGAUCUGAUGAGCUUCAGUUCUUUGACAAUCUCUGAGAGGCUUGGGGGACUUUCCUGAGGAACGAACCCAGGUAAAAUAAAUGUAAGUUUCAAGCUUCAUAAUAAAAAGUGUCAAUUUCUUUCUUUUUUUUUUUUUUUUUGAGACAGAGUCUCACUCUGUCACCUAGGCUAUAGUGCAGUGGCACGAUCUCAGCUCACUGCAACCUCUGCUUCCCAGGUUCCAGCAAUUGUCCUGCCUCAGCCUCCUACAUAGCUGGGAUUACAGGCUCCCACCACCAUGCCCAGCUAAUUUUUGUAUUUUUGGUAGAGAUAGGGUUUCACCAUUUUGCCCAGGCUGGUCUUGAACUCCUGACUUCAGGGCAUCUGCCCGCCCCGGCUUCCCACAGUGCUUGAUUACAGGUGUGAGCCACUCACCUGGUCAGGACUUGUUUUCUUAAUCCCUGUGCUAUAGAAAUUAUACUAGACAGAAACAUAAAGGAGAUUUUUGUUUGUUUUUGUUUUGUUUUGAGACCUAGUCUUGCUCUGUUGCCAAGGCUAGAGCGCAGAAGCACAGUCUUGGCUCAUUGCAACCUCCGCCUUCAGGGUUCAAGUGAUUCUUCUGCCUCAGCCUCCCAAAUCGCUGGAAUUACAGGAGCCUGCCCAACACGCAGCUAAUUUUUGUAGUUUUAGUAGACACAGGGUUUCACCAUGUUAGUCAGCUGGUCUCAAAUUCCUGACCUCAGGUGAUCUGCCCGUCUGGCCUACCAAAGUGCUGGGAUGACAGGUGUGAGCCACCGUGUCUGGCUGGGAUUGUUAGUAAGCACUUUUUGUUUUUUUGAGACAGAGUUUCCCUCUUGUUGGCCAGGCUGGAGUGCAAUGGCACAACAAUCUCGGCUCACUGCAAUCUUCGCCUUACGGGUUCAAGUGAUUCUCCUGCCUCAGCCUCCCAAGUAGCUGGAUUACAUGCAUGCACCACCAUGCCUAGCUAAUUUUUUGUAUUUUUAGUACAAAAAUACAAAAAGUUUUUGUAUUAAAAUUUUUACCAUGUACCAUUUUAUACUAAAAAUUUAACAUGGGAUUUUACCAUGUUAGCUAGGCUGCUCUCAAACUUCUGACCUCAGUUGAUCUGCCCGCCUUGGCCUCCCAAAGUGCUGGGAUUGCAGGUGUGAGCCACUGCACCUGGCCUUUUUUUUUUUUUUUUUUUAAAGAGACAGCAUCUCAUUCUGUCGCCCAGACUGGAGUGCAGUGUUGCUCACUGUAACCUCAAAUCUUAAGGCCCAAGCGAUUCUUCCACCUCAGCCUACUGAGGAGCUGGGACUACAGGCACGUGCCAUGCUGCCUAGCUAAUUUUUGUAGAAAUGUGAUCUCGCUGUGUUACCCCAGCUGGUCUUGAAUUACUGGGCUCAGGCAAUCCUCCCACCUUGGCCUCCCAAAGUGUUGGGAUGACAGGCACAGCCAUGGCUUCUGGCCAAUAAGCAUUCUUACGCAGUGUUUACUAAGUGCCAAGCACUACCCCAAGCACUUUUCUGAGGACUGUAUAUGUUUAUGGGAAAAAGCCCAUGGCAGAGGCCCCAGGAGACAGGCCUGCCUGGAGGACUGGGUUGGGAGUGGGAAGCAGGCCCCCUCAGGACCAGGGAGCCUCCAGGAAAGAGCCCCUUCUCCCAAGGGUGCAGAGUUAAGGCUCCUGCUUGGUUGAAAGGUCCAGGGGACAAUCCUGAGUGGAACACUGUGACUGUCAUUCUGAUUGUCCCCCUACAAGGCACCAUGGACUCCAGCAUCCAGAGAAUGAAAAUAAUAAUAAAUUAAAGCAGCCCAGGGCAUCUGCAGCCACAGUGUCAGACAGGAGGCCAUGCCUCAGGGCCUGGGACCAACAGCAGCCUGGCCUGCUGCCGAAAAAUAGUAGCCCUGACUGCAGGGGCCAGUGGCAGCCACCACUGGGGGCCCAGACUCUGGGGGUGCUCUUGCAUGCAUGUGUGUGUGUGCAUGUGCGCAGGAGUGCACAGAUGACAUUUUGAGACACCUGGAUCUAUCUAGGAGGUAUCUGAGGGGUACUCAGACUUCUGCAGAAAAGGUGGGACAGACCUGGAGAAGCAGUAUUUUGUAACUUUGGAGCCUGUGCUCCUCAGUGCCCGAAGUCCAGAGGGGACCAAAGCAGCAGGGGGCUGGUGUGUCAGUGCUGCCCCAAGUGUGCACAUACCCAGCUGGGCCGUGACAGCAUGUGGGCUCAGCCCCAACCUUGCUCCAAGAUUGGAGUGGGCACUGGGAGUGUGCAGAGACCUGGUAGCAAGAGCAGACACAGCAGAGCCUAUGGGAGGAGGGCCUUCCUGGGCCCCUGAGAGUGCAGAGAUGCCCAGUCCACAGCCACAGCUUGAGUGGCUGCAGUUGUGCCUGGAAAGGUGGGGCUCCUGCCUGCUUCAGGCCCCACUGGCUCCGCGGAGUUUGCAGCCUCGGCUGCACCUCUCCUACUGCAACUGGCAGCAUGUCAGCUGCCACUCUAGAUGGGCCACUGCUGCCAUCAUUAUGACCCAGGGUAAAAUAAUCAAGACAUCUUUAAUCCAGCUACAUGAAUUGUCUUGCCCACUUUUUAAACUAGUUAUUUGUUGUCGUCUAUAUAACCACUGAUACUAAUGCUGAAUAAUUUCAUGACUGAUGAGGUCCUAUAAAGGUAGAUAUAUUUUAUAAAUUUUAUAUACCAUGGCUUCUAUUUCUUAAUAUUAUUUUUUUCAUUAGUAGUCAUUUCAAGAAAUCAGAAUGUGUCAUCAGUCAAUUUAACAUUAAAGUAACUUUUCUUUUUGUCCUGAGAAGGCAGAAAUGUCAAUGCCAAGGGUACUACACAAAAAAAACAAAAAUCACAUAAACUCCCCCACCCCACACUUUUUUUUUUGAGAUGGAGUCUCACCCUGUCACCCAGGCUGGAGUGUAAUGGCGGGAUCUCAGCUCACUGCAACCUCUGCCUCCCAGGUUCAAGCCAUUCUCUUUCCUCAGCCUCCCAAGUGGCUGGGAUCACAGGUGUGUGCCACCACACCCAGCUAAUUUUUUGUAUUUUUAGCAGAGACGGGGUUUCACCAUGUUGGCCAGACUGGUCUUGAACUUCUGCCCUCGUGAUCCACCUGGCUUGGCCUUCCAAAGUGCUGGGAUUACAGGCAUGAGCCACCACACCCGGCCAAUAAAUUCCCCUUUCAAGGGCAAAACUGCAUAUGACCCUUGGCCAUAUUAAGUUGUCCACAUCAGAUAAAAAAUAAAUAGGAUAAGAAAUAAAACAAAAAGUGGACUGGUGUAAAAUUGUUGCUUGUCAACAUUAGAGAGUGCAUUUUAUAUCAAGAAACUCAUAAAGAAUAGACAACGGCUUAGCUCUUCUAGCCAGCAAAUUUUUGUCCUAGCUGACGCUAAAAGCUCCCAAUAUUUGGAAAUAGCUUUUCCCCUUCUCUUUUGUGGGCAUUUUUUGAUUGCUAACAAUAAUAGCUUUUUCUUGUGCUUAAGUGAAUCAAAUCUGUUUGAUUUUAUCCUGAAUUGCCCACACAUCAAUUACAAAUUCUUGGCUCAAGGAAACUCUGAUACUGACUCUACUGUUCCUGCUAAUGUCAUAUGUAAAUCAGGAAGGCUGGCCCUUUAAUUUUCUCGUAUCUUACAGAUUUUAACCUGUGCUAAAAUCACUCAUGGUUAAUCUACCCAUCUUGUCCACAAAAGGUCUCCCAGACUUUCCAGACCCACAGCAUGACCAAAGCUCAAAUUAAUCCAUUGUGUUAUCUGCCAAAACCCCAAAGAAAAUUGUACCUAAUGGAUCAUUAAACCAUGUUAGGUUUGUAUUAUUUAGCUCAUGAACAUUGAAUCAUAUUUAAGUAAAGUGCAGCCCUGAAAAUAUUUUAAAGACUUUUAGGACUGGACGCAGUGGCUCAGGCCUGUAACCCCAGCACUUUGGAAGGCCAAGAUUGGUGGAUCACGAUGUCAGGAGUUUGAGACCAGCCUAACCAACAUGGUGAAACCCUGUCUCUACUAAAAAUACAAAAAAUUAGCUGGGCAUGGUGGCACACACCUAACCUCCAGCUACUCAGGAAGCUGAGGCAGGAGAAUCACUUGAACCCAGGAAGCGGAGGUUGCAUUGAGCUGAGAUUAUGCCACUGUGCUCCAGCCUGGGUGACAGAGCGAGACUUUGUCUCAAAAAAAAAAAAAAAGAAUUUUAGCUUGUUGCUUAGUGUGUAUAUACACAUACACACACACGCAAAACAGUGUGUUAAAAUAAAUUAUUUCAUAUGAAUGCAGGAAAAUCGUAAUUGUUUUGGUCAAUUGAUCAUUUUGCAAAGCAUGUGAAUUCAGACCAUUAUAGGAAGUUAUUAACAUAAAUUAAGAGGGUAACAGUUAACUCUUUUUUUGUAAAGGUGAUUUUUUAAAAGGCUUGUCACAUAAUUCUGAAGGAAUGGUACUCACUGAAUUCAUGUUUCCUCUACUUCAAAUAGUGCUAUUAAUAUCCAUGUGGAAAUUACAGAGUGAAGGGAAUAACCAAAUCAACAACGGUAACAUCCUGUACUCCCGAAUAAUUGAUAUCAUCAGUCCUUUAGAGCCAUAUUCUCAGCCCAGGAAACUCGCAAAUUACACUGUGAAGUUGUGAAUAAAUGAUUAGAAAUGAUGUAGGAGAUUCUGAAAACUAGCUCUGAUGACUUAGGCAAAGAUCCUAGAAAAGCUAUCCUCAGUUUAAAAUACAAAGAAAAAGUGGACCCUGAAAGGAAAACUUAGUCUUUUAAAUAAUCAUUAAUAAUGAUGAUAGGCUGGGCACAGUGGCUCACCUGUAAUUCUAGCACUUUGGGAGGCCAAGGUGGGUGGAUCACUUGAGCCCAGGGUUCAAGACCAGCUUGGGCAACAUGGGGAAACCCCAUCUCUACAAAAAAUACAAAAAUAUUUAGUUGAGCAUGGUGGUGCAUGCUAUAUUCUCAACUACUCAGGAGGCUGAGGCAGGAGGAUCGCUUGAGCCCAAGAGGUUGAGGCUGCAGUGAGUGCUGAUCCACUACUGCAGUCCAGCCUGGGCGACAGAGUGAGAUCUUGUCUUAUCAUCAUCAUCAUCAUCAUCAUCGGCUGGGUGUGGUGGCUCACGCUUGUAAUCCCAGCACUUUGAGAGGUUGAGGCGGGCUGAUCAUGAGGUCGCGAGAUCGAGACCAUCCUGCCUAACACGGUGAAACCCUGUCACUACUAAAAAUACAAAAAAUUAGCCAGGCAUGGUGGCAGGCACCUGUAAUUCCAGCUACCUGGGAGGCUGAGGCAGCUUGAACCCAUGAGCUGAGAUCAUGUCACUGCACUCUGGCCUGGGUGACAGAGUGAGACUCUCUCAAAAAAAAAAAAUAGUGACAUCAGGAUCACUGGACUUACUUCCAGUGUCACUAUGGUUCUGUUAUUCUGGAGAAAAUGACUCUUGUUUCUCAUUUCCAACAGAAUACAUCCAUAAUAAUAGGCUAGAGUGCAUUGGAGAAAUUAUUUUGAACACCUGGAUCUUAGGCAAAAACAUUCUCUUUGCUAAACUGUGUAAUUCUUGGAAUCUUGGAUGUCAGCACACCCAGCACUGCGAUGCUCUGCACACCGCGUGCGAUGGUGUUUGUAAUUCUAACACUGUGUUGGAACGAGCUGACAUUGUAGUAGCAGGGGACAUUACUAGCUAACACUUGCUUAUUCUGGAAUCUGCCUCUUGGGAUCUUAAAUUUUUAUUUGUCAGAAACAAAUAUAAUCGGGAAAAUUAUAUAAAUGGACUUCUGAAAACUAAAUGCAGUCAUCAAAUUCUGAAAUACACGUGUCUAGAGUGUGUGCAUGUGAUAGAUUCUAGGUGCUGAAAUAACUGUUGCAUUUACUCUGUUUCAUUAAUUGCUAUUUUCAGAAGUAAGUUUUGAAGUGUUUAAUAAGCAAUUUAGAACUCCAGAGACCAUGCAUUAGGACACUGGAAAAUCUGUAAGGAAUUGGAGCAACUUGUUUUUGAAGAAUGAUUUAUGUUAAUACGGAGCUGUAAAACUAUCUUUGUGAAAGCUGUUGUGAUGGCUUUAUUUUUCUUCAUCUUUCCCAAUGAGAAUAGCAGUUUUAUGUCCACAUUGGCUUCUUGCUCCUAUCAAUGACAUUGUAGCUUUAUGAGAACUUCAUUUUGUCUUGUUGUGGUUCUUUACCACACCAAAAUAAAUGCAGAUGAUUUUCUGUUGGCA